RNAcentral lists this ribosomal RNA (238 nucleotides) under uncultured bacterium. Its description in RNAcentral is "partial 16S ribosomal RNA". It matches the Rfam family "Bacterial small subunit ribosomal RNA", at positions 15 to 245 of the family's 1533-position model. The record is from RNAcentral.
GAUCAUGCUCAGGAUGAACGCUAGCUACAGGCUUAACACAUGCAAGUCGAGGGGCAGCGGGAUUGAAGCUUGCUUCAAUUGCCGGCGACCGGCGCACGGGUGAGUAACGCGUAUCCAACCUUCCGCUUACUCGGGGAUAGCCUUUCGAAAGAAAGAUUAAUACCCGAUGGUAUCUUAAGCACGCAUGAGAUUAAGAUUAAAGAUUUAUCGGUAAGCGAUGGGGAUGCGUUCCAUUAGG